RNAcentral lists this ribosomal RNA (253 nucleotides) under uncultured bacterium. RNAcentral's name for it is "partial 16S ribosomal RNA". It matches the Rfam family "Bacterial small subunit ribosomal RNA", at positions 524 to 776 of the family's 1533-position model. The record is from RNAcentral.
GACAGAGGAUGCAAGCGUUAUCCGGGAUUACUGGGCGUAAAGCGCGCGUAGGCGGCUUUGCAAGUCGGGUGUGAAAUCCCCAGGCUUAACCUGGGAACUGCAUUCGAGACUGCAUUGCUAGAGUAUGGGAGAGGGAAGUGGAAUUUCCGGUGUAGCGGUGAAAUGCGUAGAUAUCGGAAGGAACAUCAGUGGCGAAAGCGACUUCCUGGACCAAUACUGACGCUCAUGUGCGAAAGCGUGGGGAGCAAACAGG